RNAcentral lists this long non-coding RNA (285 nucleotides) under Capsicum annuum. Its description in RNAcentral is "long non-coding RNA (CANN_LNC017881)". The record is from RNAcentral. Lineage: Eukaryota; Viridiplantae; Streptophyta; Magnoliopsida; Solanales; Solanaceae.
AAAUUGAUAAAAAGCUAAUGAUAAUUUACUUUGAUUCAUUGACGUCGUUGAUCGUGAUAGUGUCGUGAUAGGUCGAAUUGGAUAGGUAAAGAGUAGGUUCGGGUAGGCAAAAGCAGGACUUGCAAUCGUUGAAUGAUAAAAGUGUUUUGUCGAAAUGUGUUGAUUUAUGUUUUCGGAUUGGAAUGUAUUCAUUUGGUCGGGGAAUGCCCCGAAGAUUGAUGUAUUUAUUCACCGGGGAAUGCCCCGACGUAUCAUGUUGGCAAAGACGCUCGUGAGGAAGGCCCG